Mobula hypostoma (lesser devil ray) is the source of this 1665-nucleotide long non-coding RNA. RefSeq lists it as uncharacterized. The record is from RefSeq and is a predicted model, not a curated record. The transcript has 3 exons. Lineage: Eukaryota; Metazoa; Chordata; Chondrichthyes; Myliobatiformes; Myliobatidae.
CAGUUGUGGAGCAGAGUUCGAGAAAGCUGACCUGCCAAUUAUCUUCUGAGGGAGACUGUUUAAAUUUGAGAGACCGGCAGAAGACCUGAGAGCCCGAGCAGGAUUAUAAAACGAAAACGAUUCGGUGAUGUACUCCGGUCACAGAGCAUUGGGAGCUUUAAAAACAACAGAGGCUGGUCUUCAGGUUACAUGAUGCAACAGUGCCCUCUGCUGGACAAGAGAGAAAUGGCACUUCUCGUCUGGCAUCUUGGAGAAGCUGCAAAGAACUGACACUUCAUCAUACCUAAAUCAGCUCGGAAUACCACAUCUCCAUGGAGAGGUUCAACCUUGUUCCCAGGCUCUUGUCAACUUUGAGCAAAAAUUUAACCACAGUGUCAAAAAGAUCAAAGAAACAUUUUAAGCAGCAGCCUUUUGACAGCCAACACACUUCAGUGUGAAGAAGCAAGUGUUCAAACUCUUCAUCGUUAUCUUGGCAUAACUGGUGAAAUAUUCUGCCAUUUAAUGUAAGAGCAUUAAUUUUGUUGAUAGCAAAUAUUACAAGAGUCAUGCUUGAAGAAAGUCAAUGGCUGAAGUUUUUGGCUGCGAGAUGUUGACAAUGAAUUACACAAUGGAUUGCAAACAGACUUGGAAUUUCUUUUAUCAUAAAUGUCACUAAACCAGCAUGGUGACCUGUCAUAUAUGGCGCUCCAUCUGUUUGACAAGAAAUUAUAUUCCGAAUCAGUCCUGUCCUGUAAUGCAGUCCCGUUGAAGGGGCUCCGCCCAAAACAUUGAUUGUACACUUUUCCGUAAAUGCUGGCUCAUCUGCUGAGUUCCUCCAGCAUUUUGCAUGGGUUUCCAGCAUCUGCAGAUUUUCUCUUGUUUAUGUUCUUGAUUGGAAUACUUUUAUACUCAAUAUACAUUUUGAGCUUGUUGUAGAUUGAUUCCCCAUUGAUACUUGUUUUUAAAUUUUUACAAAGAGAAUCUCUUCAUAAACUUUUCCAUUUUUGAUAAACCGUACAUUAGCAAUACCUCAUUGUCUCACACAGUUGACUCAUCUAGUUGUAUCCCAAAUUUUGUUUUUUUGUAGCUCUGUGCAUAGUUGACUUGUCUUCACUCAUUUUGCCAAUAUGAUAGGCUACAGAGUUAUUACUCAGAGGCAUUGAUUUUAAAAUACUGGUAUCCAUUUGAGAACAGUGAUACAGCAAGAUGCAGCAGGCAUUAUUAAUCUUUCACCAGUUGACUGAGAUUUUCCACACUUUGCUAUCAUUUUGGAGAUUUUAUAAGAAGCAAUGAGACCACUAUCAAGGUUAUUUUUAGCUUUCUUGGCAAAUGACUCAAGUGUGUAACGCCUUUCAAAUGCUUCUUUAAUCUUCUGGAACUGAGUAGCUUUUUCAGGCUGUCUUUUACAGAAGUGUUCCAGCAAUCUCGAUGGUUUCACGGCUUCAUUAGACAAUACACUAUUACAAAUAAGACACAUGGCGUGUCACCGAUCUGACAGGAACAGAAGAAAACCAUACUCCAAGUAUGUGACAUUGUAUUGAUGCACUUUCUGUAGUUUCUGUUUUUUAGCAGGAUUAGAAUUCAGGGCGUCACCACCUUCAGACUCAUAGAGAUCACACCAUAUGUAUUUAUCCAUCAUUAAUGAAAUAAAAAAUUAACACAAUCUGGGAAUGCUUAUUGGAUGUU